This 882-nucleotide ribosomal RNA is filed under the name Triangularia setosa. RNAcentral's name for it is "partial large subunit ribosomal RNA". It matches the Rfam family "Eukaryotic large subunit ribosomal RNA", at positions 37 to 954 of the family's 3401-position model. The record is from RNAcentral. Lineage: Eukaryota; Fungi; Ascomycota; Sordariomycetes; Sordariales; Podosporaceae.
AGCAUAUCAUAGCGGAGGAAAAGAAACCAACAGGGAUUGCCUCAGUAACGGCGAGUGAAGCGGCAACAGCUCAAAUUUGAAAUCUGGCCUCGGCCCGAGUUGUAAUUUGUAGAGGAAGCUUUUGGUGCGGCACCGACCGAGUCCCCUGGAACGGGGCGCCAUAGAGGGUGAGAGCCCCGUAUGGUUGGACGCCUAUCCUCUGUAAAGCUCCUUCGACGAGUCGAGUAGUUUGGGAAUGCUGCUCAAAAUGGGAGGUAAAUUUCUUCUAAAGCUAAAUAUUGGCCAGAGACCGAUAGCGCACAAGUAGAGUGAUCGAAAGAUGAAAAGCACUUUGAAAAGAGGGUUAAAUAGCACGUGAAAUUGUUGAAAGGGAAGCGCUUGUGACCAGACUUGCGCCUCGUCGAUCAUCCGGGGUUCUCCCCGGUGCACUCGGCGGGGCUCAGGCCAGCAUCGGUUUUCGUGGGGGGACAAAGGCACCGGGAACGUAGCUCCUCCGGGAGUGUUAUAGCCCGGGGCGUAAUGCCCUCGCGGGGACCGAGGACCGCGCUUCGGCAAGGAUGCUGGCGUAAUGGUCAUCAGCGACCCGUCUUGAAACACGGACCAAGGAGUCAAGGUUUUGCGCGAGUGUUUGGGUGUAAAACCCGCACGCGUAAUGAAAGUGAACGUAGGUGAGAGCUUCGGCGCAUCAUCGACCGAUCCUGAUGUAUUCGGAUGGAUUUGAGUAGGAGCGUUAAGCCUUGGACCCGAAAGAUGGUGAACUAUGCUUGGAUAGGGUGAAGCCAGAGGAAACUCUGGUGGAGGCUCGCAGCGGUUCUGACGUGCAAAUCGAUCGUCAAAUCUGAGCAUGGGGGCGAAAGACUAAUCGAACCAUCUAGUAGCUGG